This 320-nucleotide ribosomal RNA is filed under the name uncultured bacterium. RNAcentral describes it as "bacterial SSU rRNA". It matches the Rfam family "Bacterial small subunit ribosomal RNA", at positions 1061 to 1382 of the family's 1533-position model. The record is from RNAcentral.
CGUGUCGUGAGAUGUUUGGGUUAAGUCCCGCAACGAGCGCAACCCUUGCCUUUAGUUGCCAUCAUUUAGUUGGGCACUCUAGAGGAACUGCCGGUGACAAGCCGGAGGAAGGUGGGGAUGACGUCAAGUCCUCAUGGCCCUUAUGUCCUGGGCUACACACGUGCUACAAUGGUGGUGACAGUGGGAAGCUAGGUAGUGAUACCGUGCUGAUCUCUAAAAGCCAUCUCAGUUCAGAUUGUACUCUGCAACUCGAGUACAUGAAGGUGGAAUCGCUAGUAAUCGUGGAUCAGCAUGCCACGGUGAAUACGUUCCCGGGCCUU